RNAcentral lists this ribosomal RNA (460 nucleotides) under uncultured bacterium. Its description in RNAcentral is "partial 16S ribosomal RNA". It matches the Rfam family "Bacterial small subunit ribosomal RNA", at positions 338 to 795 of the family's 1533-position model. The record is from RNAcentral.
CCUACGGGAGGCAGCAGUGAGGAAUAUUGGUCAAUGGCCGCAAGCCUGAACCAGCCAAGCCGCGUGAAGGACGAAGGUUCCAUGCAUUGUAAACUUCUUUUGUCAGGGGACAAAAUCCGGCGCGUGCGCCUGACUGCGGGUACCUUAAGAAAAAGCAUCGGCUAACUCCGUGCCAGCAGCCGCGGUAAUACGGAGGAUGCGUGCGUUAUCCGGAUUGACUGGGCGUAAAGGGUGCGUAGGGGGUGAGACAAGUUAGUAGCGAAACUCCGGGGCUCAACUUCGGAACUGCUGCUGAAACUGUGGGACUGGAGUGCAGGAGAGGCAAUCGGAAUUCCUGGUGUAGCGGUGAAAUGCGUAGAUAUUAGGAGGAACACCAGUGGUGAAGGCGGAUUGCUGGACUGUAACUGACGCUGAGGCACGAAAGCGUGGGGAGCAAACAGGAUUAGAUACCCCAGUAGUC